GACGAACGCUGGCGGCGUGCUUAACACAUGCAAGUCGAACGAGUGGCGAACGGGUGAGUAAUGUAUGGGGAUCUGCCUGAUGGCGGGGGAUAACUACUGGAAAAGGUAGCUAAUACAGCAUAACAUCCGCUGAACCCAUAUGGGAUUAGCUAGUAGGUAAGGUAACGGCUUACCUAGUCGACGAUCCCUAGCUGGUCUGAGAGGAUGAUCAGCCACACUGGGACUGAGACACGGCCCAGACUCCUACGGGAGGCAGCAGUGGGGAAUAUUGCACAAUGGGCGCAAGCCUGAUGCAGCCAUGCCGCGUGUAUGAAGAAGGCCUUCGGGUUGUAAAGUACUUUCAGUCGGGAGGCGUUACCGACAGAAGAAGCACCGGCUAACUCCGUGCCAGCAGCCGCGGUAAUUC
Molecule: ribosomal RNA, 406 nt
Filed under: uncultured bacterium
Lineage: Bacteria
Description: partial 16S ribosomal RNA
Rfam family: Bacterial small subunit ribosomal RNA
Source: RNAcentral